AAGAACUUUGCUUCAAAUCACGCAAAACCAUGCAUCCAAACUCGUAGGAAUGUCCAUCACUUAAUUAGCACAUCCUUCAACUCAGUUCUUGGCCGGAGGGUGGUAGAUCGGAGUCGGGGACCCAUACGUGGGCGUGGGUGAACUGUAUUUAGGCGUUGGGGGGUGGUAUUCUGGCUGAGGUUUGGGCUCCGGCUUUGGCUUAGGAGGCACUGGUUUCUUGUGGAAGUGGUCAAAGAAGUGGUGGUGCUCAUGAUCCUUGUGGAAGUGGUCAAGCCAGUGCUUCUUGUCGAACAAGUCUUUAGCAGGAGGAUGGUAGAUUGGAGUAGGAGACCCAUAUGUAGGUGUUGGGGGGUGGUACUCUGGCUGCGGCUUGGGCUCUGGCUUCGGCGGAAUAGGCUUCUUGUGGAAGUGGUCGAAGAGUUGGUGGUGGUCGUGGUCCUUGUGGAAGUGACCAAGCAACUUGGCAAACAAGUGCCUAGCUGGAGGGUGGUAGAUUGGUGUAGGAGACCCGUAUGUGGGUGUUGGCGACCCAUAUGUUGGCGUUGGGGGAUGGUACUCUGGCUGAGGCUUGGGCUCUGGUUUGGGCUGCGGCUUAGGUUCCGGCUUCGGCUUUGGCGGUAUGGGCUUCUUGUGGAAGUGGUCGAAGAAGUGGUGGUGGUCAUGGUCCUUGUGGAAGUGACCAAGCAACUUGGCAAACAAGUGCCUAGCUGGAGGGUGGUAGAUCGGUGUCGGAGACCCGUAUGUUGGUGUUGGGGGAUGGUACUCUGGCUGAGGCUUAGGCUCUGGCUUCGGCUGCGGCUUAGGUUCCGGCUUCGGCUUCGGCGGCAUGGGCUUCUUGUGGAAAUGGUCAAAGAAGUGGUGGUGGUCGUGGUUCUUAUGGAAGUGAUCAAACAAGUGCUUCUUGUCGAACAACUGCCUUGCUGGAGGAUGGUAGAUCGGAGUUGGGGAUCCAUAUGUGGGCAUUGGUGAUCCAUACGUCGGU
This 982-nucleotide long non-coding RNA is filed under the name Setaria viridis. RNAcentral describes it as "long non-coding RNA (SVIR_LNC010905)". The record is from RNAcentral. Lineage: Eukaryota; Viridiplantae; Streptophyta; Magnoliopsida; Poales; Poaceae.